Molecule: ribosomal RNA, 496 nt
Filed under: uncultured Emiliania
Lineage: Eukaryota; Haptophyta; Isochrysidales; Noelaerhabdaceae
Description: bacterial SSU rRNA
Rfam family: Bacterial small subunit ribosomal RNA
Source: RNAcentral
CUUUAGUGGCGAACGGGUGCGUAAUACGUGAGAAUCUGCCCUUAGGAGGAGAAUAACUUCUGGAAACGGUUGCUAAGUCUCCAUAUGCCGAGAGGUGAAAUAGUUUAUACUGCCUAGGGAUGAGCUCACGCCUGAUUAGCUUGUUGGUAAGGUAAUGGCUUACCAAGGCCACGAUCAGUAGCUGGUUUGAGAGAACGAUCAGCCACACUGGGACUGAGACACGGCCCAGACUCCUCCGGGAGGCAGCAGUGAGGAAUUUUCCGCAAUGGGCGAAAGCCUGACGGAGCAAUACCGCGUGAGGGAUGAAGGAUUUUGGUCUGUAAACCUCUUUUCUCAAGAAAGAAGUUCUGACGGUACUUGAGGAAUAAGCAUCGGCUAACUCCGUGCCAGCAGCCGCGGUAAUACGGGGGAUGCAAGCGUUAUCCGGAAUCAUUGGGCGUAAAGCGCCUGUAGGUUGUUUAAUAAGUCUGUUGUUAAAGACUAGGGCUUAACCCUA